GUGUCCGUAGCUUAGUUGGUAAAGCACAUGACUUUUAAUCAUGGGAGCGUGGGUUCAAGUCCCACUGGACACA
Molecule: transfer RNA, 73 nt
Filed under: Bacteroidota bacterium
Lineage: Bacteria; Pseudomonadati; Bacteroidota
Description: tRNA-Lys
Rfam family: tRNA
About the family: Transfer RNA (tRNA) molecules are approximately 80 nucleotides in length.
Source: RNAcentral